This 346-nucleotide transfer-messenger RNA is filed under the name Thermoanaerobaculia. RNAcentral describes it as "JAENWF01 sp016650215 Standard tmRNA". It matches the Rfam family "transfer-messenger RNA". Rfam says of the family: Bacterial tmRNA, also known as 10Sa RNA or SsrA, is named for its dual tRNA and mRNA-like properties. Its role is to liberate the mRNA from a stalled ribosome. The record is from RNAcentral. RNAcentral also lists the same sequence under 1 other name. Lineage: Bacteria; Pseudomonadati; Acidobacteriota.
GGGGGCGCACCGGCUUCGACGGGAAUAUGUCGGGGUCAUGGUUGCAUGCCGAGCUGAUUGCCUCGUAAAAACAAUCACCAACUGUAAUCGCGAACAGCGAAUACGCACUCGCAGCUUAAUUGACUGCGACGCCCAUCAUCGGUCGCUCACGCCGUUGAUCAAGGUGUCAUGAUGUGAGCUACGGACCUGUGAGUGUCUCGAAACAGGUCCCGACAAUUAAGGGGCUGGUCCGGGUCGUUCUCUGCUCUCCGGGCAGGCACGGACGAGAUUCAAGCGAGAGCUAAGCAUGUAGUAGCCAGGCUGCCACUGUUUUCGGACGCGGGUUCAACUCCCGCCGCCUCCACCA